Camellia sinensis is the source of this 92-nucleotide small nucleolar RNA. RefSeq annotates it as small nucleolar RNA SNORD96 family. NCBI's taxonomy places the organism in Eukaryota, Viridiplantae, Streptophyta, Magnoliopsida, Ericales, Theaceae. The record is from RefSeq and is a predicted model, not a curated record.
UGGCCAGUGAGGAUAUCAGAAAACAAGAACACCAUCUUUCGGGACUGAUUGGCUUAAAAUAGCCUUGUUGAUAUUCUGCAAUUCUGAGGCCU